CCUACGGGAGGCAGCAGUGAGGAAUAUUGGUCAAUGGGCGCAAGCCUGAACCAGCCAAGUCGCGUGAGGGAUGACGGUCCUAUGGAUUGUAAACCUCUUUUGUCGGGGAGCAAGGCCCGCCACGUGUGGCGGGAAGGAGAGUAUCCGAAGAAAAAGCAUCGGCUAACUCCGUGCCAGCAGCCGCGGUAAUACGUAGGGGGCAAGCGUUAUCCGGAUUUACUGGGUGUAAAGGGAGCGUAGACGGUUAUGUAAGUCUGGAGUGAAAGCCCGGGGCCCAACCCCGGGACUGCUUUGGAAACUGUGUGACGGGAGUACAGGAGGGGCAGGCGGAAUUCCUGGUGUAGCGGUGAAAUGCGUAGAUAUCAGGAGGAACACCGGCGGCGAAGGCGGCAAUCUGACUGGAAACUGACGCUGAGGUGCGAAAGCGUGGGUAGCAAACAGGAUUAGAUACCCUAGUAGUC
This 461-nucleotide ribosomal RNA is filed under the name uncultured bacterium. RNAcentral describes it as "partial 16S ribosomal RNA". It matches the Rfam family "Bacterial small subunit ribosomal RNA", at positions 338 to 795 of the family's 1533-position model. The record is from RNAcentral.